CCCUUAGAUGUUCUGGGCCGCACGCGCGCUACACUGUUCGACGCAGCGAGUCUUAACCUUGACCGAAAGGUUUGGGUAAUCUUCAGCAAAGUCGAACGUGAUGGGGAUCGAUCAUUGCAAUUAUUGAUCGGGAACGAGGAAUUCCUAGUAAGUGCAAGUCAUCAGCUUGCGCUGAUUACGUCCCUGCCCUUUGUACACACCGCCCGUCGCUACUACCGAUUGAAUGGUUUAGUGAGAUCUCUGGAUUGACGCUGGCUAGGGGGCGACCCUUGGCCAGGCUGUCGAGAAACUGCUCAAACUUGAUCAUUUAGAGGAAGUAAAAGUCGUAACA
This 331-nucleotide ribosomal RNA is filed under the name uncultured eukaryote. RNAcentral describes it as "partial 18S ribosomal RNA". It matches the Rfam family "Eukaryotic small subunit ribosomal RNA", at positions 1470 to 1796 of the family's 1831-position model. The record is from RNAcentral.